AGAGUUUGGAUCCCUGGGCUCAGGACGAACGCUGGCGGCGUGCUUAAGACAUGCAAGUCGAACGGUAAGGCCCCCUUCGGGGGGUACACGAGUGGCGCACGGGUGAGUAACGCGUGGGUAAUCUACCUUCGGGUUUGGGACAACUUCGGGAAACUGGAGCUAAUACCGAAUAAGACCACGAGGUCCUCGGACCUCGCGGAAAAAGGUGGCCUCUUCUUGAAAGCUACCGCCUGUUGAUGUGCCCGCGUCCCAUUAGCUUGUUGGUGAGGUAACGGCUCACCAAGGCCGCGAUGGGUAGCUGGUCUGAGAGGAUGAUCAGCCACACUGGAACUGAGACACGGUCCAGACUCCUACGGGAGGCAGCAGUCGGGAAUUUUGGGCAAUGGGCGAAAGCCUGACCCAGCAACGCCGCGUGAGGGAUGAAGGCCUUCGGGUCGUAAACCUCUGUCGAGAGGGACGAACGAUCAGCGGGUAAAUAAUCCGGUGGUCUGACGGUACCUCCAAAGGAAGUGCCGGCUAACUCCGUGCCAGCAGCCGCGGGUAAUACGGGAGGGCACAAGCGUUGUUCGGAAUUACUGGGCGUAAAGCGCGUGUAGGCGGCUUGGCAAGUCGGGUGUGAAAUCCCGGGGCCCAACCCCGGAACUGCACUCGAAACUUGCCUCGCUAGAAGUCCCCGGAGAGGAAGGCGGAAUUUCCCGGGUGUUAAAGGUGAAAAUUCGGUA
Molecule: ribosomal RNA, 722 nt
Filed under: uncultured delta proteobacterium
Lineage: Bacteria; Deltaproteobacteria
Description: bacterial SSU rRNA
Rfam family: Bacterial small subunit ribosomal RNA
Source: RNAcentral